This 468-nucleotide ribosomal RNA is filed under the name uncultured bacterium. Its description in RNAcentral is "partial 16S ribosomal RNA". It matches the Rfam family "Bacterial small subunit ribosomal RNA", at positions 29 to 507 of the family's 1533-position model. The record is from RNAcentral.
UACGCACGCUGGCGGCGUGCUUAACACAUGCAAGUCGAACGGAAAGGCCCUGCUUUUGUGGGGUGCUCGAGUGGCGAACGGUUGAGUAACACGUGAGUAACCUGCCCUUGACUUUGGGAUAACUUCAGGAAACUGGGGCUAAUACCGGAUAGGAGCUCCUGCUGCAUGGUGGGGGUUGGAAAGUUUCGGCGGUUGGGGAUGGACUCGCGGCUUAUCAGCUUGUUGGUGGGGUAGUGGCUUACCAAGGCUUUGACGGGUAGCCGGCCUGAGAGGGUGACCGGCCACAUUGGGACUGAGAUACGGCCCAGACUCCUACGGGAGGCAGCAGUGGGGAAUAUUGCACAAUGGGCGGAAGCCUGAUGCAGCAACGCCGCGUGCGGGAUGACGGCCUUCGGUUUGUAAACCGCUUUCGCCUGUGACGAAGCGUGAGUGACGGUAAUGGGUAAAGAAGCACCGGCUAACUACGUG